AGCCCGCCCUUCGGGCAGGCAGCGCGCCUGGCCCGUGCUCGCCAUCACCGCGGCCACGAGUCUGGGAAAGCUGUCGGGACUUUGCGUUGACACGGGGCGCGUUGUCGCCUUGUGAAGCGCUGUCACAACAGCAGUGGGAGGAUCCAGAUGCCUGUCCAAAAUUACAUAUCCUACCACGGAAUAUUCUAGUUCUGAAUAUAGCAGCGUCUGUGGAGUGAGGCUGAGUAGCUGCGGCUUCAAAAGGCAGCGAUAAACAUAAACGGGUUUUAUGAGAAGAGCAUUUCAUGGAAGAGCCUUCUGUUUCAGCUCAAACUCAGCAGUCUGCAGAGAGAAUGAAUCUCUGAAGGAACAAUGUGUGUGAACAACAGGAUUGUGAGUCCACAAACAUCAGGCAAGAUGAGACUAAGAUGUAGUUGGUUCUUUCUUGAUCUGUGGUCAAACAGAUGUAGAAGGGAUUCUGCAUUGCAGGUCAUCGGACAGGGAAGAUGGAUGAUGUCAUCAGCUUCCAUUUUUUCUGGAUGAGCGAUGCGGUGUUGCUGGCAUUAAUAUGCAAGCCUUAUGCAAGAUCCCUUUCCAUGGAUCUGUUGAUCUGCAGUUGAAAAUGAAGAGCAUCAGCACUGCCACAAUCAUUCCUGAAGGAAUUCCUUGUAAUUGCGCUUUUGUCGAGUAGAUAGUGAAAGGCCCUCCAAUGAAUGAGGACUGUUUGAGAGCUUAAAGUGAAUUUGCCAGAGGGCUCUGCUCCCACAGAAGCUGAUUUCCUACAAGCAACAAAAAGCAGUGGGUGAAAGGAGGGGAGAGACUCUGCUAAUGCAGCAUGAGCUCAACGCCUACCUGUUGAGCUUGGGCUGCCAGCUGGCUGCACAGCACCAGCAUGCCAUGGAGCUCAGAAGGAGACAUAGCACCUCCUGCCUCUGGGGCGAGAAGGGAAGAAGGACCCUGUGCCUGGAAUGUGGAGGACAAGCCACAUGGAAAACCACUGGAAAUGGUGUGGGCAGCAAGAGCUUGCAGGAAAUUGAGUGGGAGCAGUUGGCAACCCAGGCUUUGUAACCUUACUCGUAGAGCUGCAGGUCUGGGGUCAAUGGCAUGGCACUUACCUACAGGUCUAAGAGGAAUAGUUCCUCUGUAUCAGUAAUCGCACAUCAGUUGACUCAUUUCCAACAAAAUGACAGUGACUGAAUGUUUCAGGACCAUUUCUCUGUGUCACAUGCACAGGAUCCUUCCCCAUUAGUGCUAAUACAUUGAAAUCAGGAGUGAUUGAACACUAAUUACCCUUCUGUUUGCACUUUGUAGUCUAGGGGAGCACAUGCUCUGGGUCAGAUGCAAACAGCAACACUGCUGUGCAACCAUUACAGCCGCAUCUGAAAUGACUUUGUCUCUGGAGCCCUUUAUUGUACCUCCUUUGGGGCUGUUUGGAUAUGUGAUGUUGUCUGAUAAUAGCAUUUACUCUACAGGAAUGUUGCAAAGAUUAAUUAAUUAAUUAGGGUUUUUUUGAAGUUGGGAAAACAAAAAGUGCUAUACAGAAUCACAGAAUAAAUGUUCCCAGGUAUUAUCAAGUAUUAUAGAGAAAUGUUUCAAAACCUCAUCUUUUUUUUCUUGUAUAUUUUUGCAGCUUUAACUUCCUAUCUCGUGCCACACAAAUUUCGAUUACCAGUAACAGUCCAGUAUGCUAUGUGCCAAAUGAUAGUUCCCCAAAAAUGUGUGAAGCCAAUUCUAAAGAUAAGGACUUUUUUGUCAUUAUAUGAGUACAUUAAUAUUUUAUAUGUCAUAUAAAAUAUAUUUAUGAGUGAGAAUACAUGUAUAUAUACCCACAUAUGUAUGUGUUACAAACAGGUAUGCAUGUAUAUAUGUAUAUAUAUGUAUGGCAACAAUAUGAUAAAGAGAAGUUUUAGUAAUUCUUCACAGAUGACACUGUGGUAAUACAUUCUCCCAGGAAUAAUAUGUAGGUCCCUUUAGGUCCACAACUCCUCUGUGUCUCUGACACUACCGUAGUAGCAAUGAUUCAUAGCAAAUAAAUGAUUAUAUAGUAAAUUAUAUAUAUGAAAUCUCUCACCAUCAUAGUUUGCUACCAAAAGCCCUUCUGGAUUUAGCCCACUAUUAUUUAAUGAGGACAUUCAGGUACUUCUGAUAGGCAGCACAGUGACAAGGUGACCUUAUAAAAACCCAGAGAGGAACUGGUAAGGAAGGGAUUUUUCUUUCCUCCGUCCCACUGUGAUACAAAUGCCAUCUUUUCAUAGUACAGUGUGUCUGUGUGCCAUAUGUGAAUACAGGAAAAAGAGACAGCAAAGGAAAGCCUGAAAUGUUCAGUACCAAAUCACAUUAAUUUCUCAGGGAGUUUUGUUGAUUUAAUGGUUAAGGCAAAAUACUGCAAGGACAUUCUCAUUGAGAAAUAAUCAAUGAAAGGU
Molecule: long non-coding RNA, 2402 nt
Organism: Pezoporus occidentalis (night parrot)
Lineage: Eukaryota; Metazoa; Chordata; Aves; Psittaciformes; Psittacidae
Exons: 4
Source: RefSeq, a predicted model, not a curated record